Macaca mulatta (Rhesus monkey) is the source of this 1717-nucleotide long non-coding RNA. Lineage: Eukaryota; Metazoa; Chordata; Mammalia; Primates; Cercopithecidae. The record is from Ensembl.
UUUAAACUGGUGUGCUCACCUCCUUCCCACUGGGUUUAAGGCUAGUACAGACACUUGGGCACCUUGUGCCUGGCUCCAUUGGUGUCGCCUGUGAAGGCUGGUGAGGGCUGAUGGGCGCCCUGGCCUGGCUGGGUUCUCUUUGCUGAUUAAUAGCUGGCUGUGUGGAAGAUGGCCUGAGUUCACAGAAGCUGGCCUAGCCCGUGCUCAGGUGUGGUCCAAGGAUGUUGAGGCUGUUUCCUGCCGUGGGGAAGGUGCAGGGCUGAGCAGAAGCUGGCCCUGAAGGUAGAAGAGGCUGCAUCCUUCAUUCCAUGCCCUCUGCUUGCAGUCAUUUUCCUUUUUUUGCCCAUGUCCAAGUCCCUCUUGGACAGAAAAGUGCCUGGGGCCAUUCUGUUGGAUUCCAGUGACUGACAGGCCAGCAACAACUCAGAGCCUCCCUUCCCUCCAGUGCCCUCGAGGGUCAGGCUGCCAUCCUGUAUGUCCUUUCCCUGGACAAUCAGGCCACCCGCUCUGCCCCUGACUUCCAGAGUCAUUCCUGGGAAUCCACCCACCCCACAGAAGGGAAGCUACUCUUAGGAAGUCCAAGAUGACUUUCUGUCAUUUUAUUUCCUGCAAAAGUAGAAAAACCAUACAGAUUUGAUCUCUGUGGGCACACUAUUAAAUGUUUAAAAAGUCAGUCACACAAACGAAUGAAAACAUCAAUGUUUAUGCAUAGCCCACAGCAAUUCAUCAUGAUGUAAAGGAGCAGGACUGGAUUCCGGGUCAGGAGGGCUGGGUUCGCCAGUCCACCGCGUUAUCUGCUGCGUGAGAAGUCUUGGUUAGGAAAUCACUGAACCUCACUGGGCCUCAGUCUUUUCAUCUGUUAAGUGGUGCAUGGUGGGGAGGGAAGGAAAGGAGAAUACCUACCUCAGAGAGUCCAGAGGCGCCAUCUGGUUCUUUCCUGGAUGGCCUAGGGGUGUCAGAUGCUGGGAAGAGACAGAAGGGUCCUGAACUACGGUGUCUCCUCAGGGGGCAGAAUCCACAAAAUCAUCAGCCUUUCACCACCUGGGUGAACAAUGCUGUACGUUUUUCCCUUAGGUUCCUGUGUCAAAACAACUGCCCGACUCAGAGAUCAAUAUAGGGGACACAAUUUUGGAAAGUGACAUAUGGGUGAAAGUGAAUCUGCACGAACAGAACCUGAUCAUGCUGGAACCUUCUACCUUGCCUUCCCUUCUUGGACAAUUUUGGUCUCAUUCUCAUUUACUUUCCUCAAAGAGACUAUUUAAGGGGAAACUAUAACUACUUGCCUCAAACCAUCACUGUGAAAUAGACACUGGCAAUUCUAUAGUGUUUGGUUCCAAUAAGACAAAAAUAAACACAAAUUACAUCCAUUUAACUUUUAUUUUAAAUCAUCUGCUGGGAUCCUGGUCUUCUUCUAGCACCAUAAUUAUGUAUCAGUUAACAAUCCAAGUUAGGAAGAUUAUAGGUAUAAUUUAAAGCAAUAAAAUGACUGGGGAACAUUUUCUAUAAUUGUCAAUUGAAAUGAAAUCUUUAGAAACGGCUGAAUGACUUUUGGCAAAGUUAAGCCUUGGCCAAACCAACUGAAGAUGACUGGUGAUGUAUCCAGCUCUCCAGAUCAAGUGUCUGUUACAUUCUGGGCUCUGACUGCUGAUUGCUAAUGUGUCAAUGAUCUAUCUGUUUAGCUACUCUAGUUUAGCUUACCUAUCUACCUUAGUUUCCG